Non-coding RNA from Heterocephalus glaber (naked mole-rat), 1857 nucleotides. NCBI's taxonomy places the organism in Eukaryota, Metazoa, Chordata, Mammalia, Rodentia, Bathyergidae. The record is from RefSeq and is a predicted model, not a curated record.
CUUACCGCCUGUGGGGAUUCCUCGCCGCCACCCGGGAUGUCGCCGUCCCUGAGCUUCGAGUCGAGGCUGCUGCUGGCAGGGCCCUGCCAGUCCCGGGGCCUGGGGUCGUUGCUGUAGACCUUCUUAAAGCUGCCGUCUGGAACCCCAAGCCAGGGGCUCCUGUGCUCUAGGCGAUCGCUAUCCACUGAGCACCACCAAAGCCCUUGAGAAGCCACUGUAAACCUCUGGGCUCAGCAAUGAAGGCCACCCUCUCCAGGUGACCUGGAAGCAAAUGGGCACCCCAAGCCCUUCAGCAGCUGGAACCCAUCCUGCAUCAGCACCUGACAGAACAGGGGAGGAAGUCAAGCCCCCAAUGGACGUGCAGCCGGGCAGAUCAGCUAACGUGGCCCCCGCAGCAGCAGCACAUCAGUCAACAGGACGGCGAGGACAUCUGCCGAGACAGCACAGGGGCAUCUCAACAGCACGCCCGAUAAGUCGCCUGUUCCAGGAUGCCUUCAGCACCCCGCUGUUUCUGUUGGAGCCUAGGAGUCUCCUUUCUGACUUGGCACUGAGCAUAGGGAAGGCUGGGGCUGCUUCCCCCAGAAAUCCCUUCAGGGGCUCCAGCUCCGAGCAGGAUGUGGUGGUGCUCAGAAUCCCAGCACUCAGGAGGCUGAGGCAGGAAGAUUGCUGUGAGUUCGAGGUCAGCCUGGGUUACAUAGUGAGUUCAAGGCUGCCCUGAACUACAUAGGGAGACCCUGUCUCAGACAAACAAAUAAAUAAACAAAACCAACAAAAACAACCAAGAUGAUCAGAGCUGAACCACAGCCCUGCCCCUUGGCCAGGCCACGGUGCCUGGUGGCUCUCCCUGGACUGGGGGCCGCUCCCUGGGGUGGCUCUGUUUAGGAUUUCCAGCUGCAGGCUAAGCCUUCUGCUCUCCUUGUCCUUGGCCGCUGGGACCUGGAAUGCACACCCACAUGCUGCCUCCAGCUUCAUCGAUGCAAGGAGAGCGGAGCCUGUCCCCUAGUGCCCGAGUCCUCUCAGUGCCUCGGUCUUGGUAUGAACAUCGUGCAGAGCGGGGCUUUUGUGAGUAACCAUAAAUCCUGAAACCACUUUUAAUAGACCAGAAUGCUCGUGUUGCAGAAAGUGCAGAUAAUACUUUUUGGGGAUCCACUUCUUCUUUAUUUUUUGAGACAGGGUCUCACUAUGUAGCCCAGGCUGGCCUUGAACUCAUGGCCCUCCUGUCUCAGCCUCCAGAAUGCUGGGAUGAUCUGUGCCCAGUGGGGAUCCACUUCUGAUAACCCUGUCUCAAUCAGGUAUCUUUUUUCCAUCUAAUUCUCCCUCAUUGCAGCCUGUUGAUUCUUUUAAAGUUUUUACUGCAUUUUAAACUUUUUUGUUGUAUUUACUUGUUUCUUUUUUUGCUCCACUGACUGGAGCCCCAGGGGCCAGGGGUCAGGUCUUGCCUGGUCAGGUAUGUUCUUGCCAUCCAGCUUGGUGCCAAGCCAAGACAGUGCCCCCCCAUCAAAGAUGGGGUCUGACGAUCUGAGGUAACAAGCAUUAACCCAAGAGGAUGCCCAUAAUACAAGGCGGCACCUACCAUCCGAGAUGGCAUCCACCACUCCAGCACACUGUCCACUGAUCCAAGACAGUGCCCGUCAUUCCAAGAGUGUGCUGACCACUCACUGAUGAAGGCCCUCAUAUGGUAUGCAACACAUCAAGAUGGUGUCACCAUUUCAAGAUGACACCCACCACCCCAAAAGAGAACCCACCAAUCCACAUGGUGGCUGCCAUUCCAAGAUGGCACCCACCAUUCCAAGACAGUGCCCACUAAUCCAACAUGGCAGCUGCUGGAGGAGGCCGGGGCGGAGCUUUACCUUUCAA